GAUGAACGCUGGCUACAGGCUUAACACAUGCAAGUCGAGGGGAAACGGCAUUGAGUGCUUGCACUGAACGGACGUCGACCGGCGCACGGGUGAGUAACGCGUAUCCAACCUUCCCGUUACUGCGGGAUAACCUGCCGAAAGGCAGACUAAUACCGCAUGUUCUUCGAUGACGGCAUCAGAUUCGAAGCAAAGAUCCGUCGGUAACGGAGGGGGAUGCGUCUGAUUAGCUAGUUGGCGGGGCGACGGCCCACCAAGGCGACGAUCAGUAGGGGUUCUGAGAGGAAGGUCCCCCACAUUGGAACUGAGACACGGUCCAAACUCCUACGGGAGGCAGCAGUGAGGAAUAUUGGUCAAUGGGCGGAAGCCUGAACCAGCCAAGUAGCGUGCAGGAUGACGGCCCUACGGGUUGUAAACUGCUUUUAUGCGGGGAUAAAGUGAGGGACGCGUCCCUUUUUGCAGGUACCGCAUGAAUAAGGACCGGCUAAUUCCGUG
This 492-nucleotide ribosomal RNA is filed under the name uncultured bacterium. Its description in RNAcentral is "partial 16S ribosomal RNA". It matches the Rfam family "Bacterial small subunit ribosomal RNA", at positions 28 to 507 of the family's 1533-position model. The record is from RNAcentral.